UCCAUAUUCCCCUAUAAAGCACAGAAUGCCAAUUAGUCUAUAAAAAUAAAAGAAGGUUAAAUGUCACGAAAACAGAAAAUUAGAUUACAUUUUAAAAAUGCUUCAAGUUAUAAAAAUUACUUAUCAUUGUUGUUUGUGCAUGUAUAAGUGAUAACAAAUUAGGGGGUUAUAGUAACGAAUUAUGUAAAAUAAAUUAAUUUGCAUUACAAUUUGAACAACAAUUUUAGGUUGCAAAAGAACCCUAUUUGAUUUAUUUUUAAAUUGAUUUGAGUUAUUAUUAUUCAAUAUUAGUUUUCCAACAGCACUUUCUUCACACACUUCAAGCGUACUUAUUGUUACAACAGCUAAAACAAGUAAAUCUUCGCAAAAGCAGCAGCAGAAACUGUUUAUUUUCCUUUGAAUCCUGUAAAAUGUCAAAAAUGUUUGGAAAUAAACGUACCCAUCCAGAUGACCAUUACGGUCAUGGUACUAAUUUAAAACCUGGUACCAGCCGUGAUAGCAGCAGCAGUAGCGGCAUUCCACAACCCAGUACCAGUGGUAGAAAUUAUCAGAGCUCUUUAAAUCUAAGCAGAAAUAUAAAGACCCAUUAGUAAUUAAUUUCUAUUUAACAUUAGGUUUUAGAUACUAAUAGUAACAAAAAAAUAGAUAAAUUAGUACAGGAAAUAAUUAAAACUUUUGAAAAGGCUAGUAGGAUAAUUAAGACUAAAAAAGAACACAAUAAGUGGAUUAGUUUAUUAAGAAAAAAUAUUUUUACGAUUAAAAAUGUAUAAAAACAAAAUCAAAAUGUAUUCAAAAUUUUCCUUGUGCCGAAGCAGGACUUGCAUUACUCAAACAUUAUCAUUUCAAUUUAAAGAAUUCUAAGCGAAUUAAAUUUGGUAGAUCACAACAUAAUAUCAUAAAAAAUCUACUUUGGCAAGAUGUGGAAUCUUGUUUUAAUGGAAGAAUUAAGACGGGUAUUAUAUAACUAACAUUAAUAUCAAAAAUCCUACAAUUUUUUUAAAACAAGCAUUUAAAAGUUUUUCCUUAAAAAUAAAAAAAGAAUUAAAGCAAUCGUUACUUAAAGUAAAUGCAAUUUUUUCUGCUAAUUUUGUAAAGCCACACUGCUGAAACAGAUGUUAAAACAUUUUUAACAAAGAAUGAAAUUAUUGACAACACAACAAAUUUAAAAUAUUGGUAUAAGAAAAAUAUUGAAGAGAAAAUUUUAGCUAAAUUGGAAAAUUUUCAAGAAAGGGAUAGCGGGUGGGCCUUAUUUCAAAUUAUUCACCUUAAAAUUAAUAUAAAUCAGUUUAACCCCAUUAGUGUUGGUUCAUCGACUUAUGUGGAUUUACCUAAUUUUAUUAAGAAAACAAAAGCGGUUAUUAAUAUAGAAAAUAAUGAUGAAUAUUGCUUUCUAUGGUCAAUAGUGUGUGCUUUAUAUCCUGCUCCUUCUCAUAAAAACUCUAGUGCUACCAGUUCAUAUCCACAUUUUACACAAGUACAAGGCCUACAUUAUUACGAUAUUACUUUUCCCAUAGGUUUAAAAGAUAUUUCAAAGUUUGAAAAAAUGAACUCAAUUUCAAUUAACGUGUACACUUUUGAAAAGAAAGAAAUUUUUCCUGUAAGUUUAACAAAAACAGAUUUUGAACUGAAAAUUAACUUACUUAUUAUUCCUUGUAUUAACUAUAAUAGUGAUGAUGAUGACUCAGAAAACGAUGAUGAUGA
RNAcentral lists this long non-coding RNA (1701 nucleotides) under Sitophilus oryzae (rice weevil). RNAcentral describes it as "uncharacterized LOC115879834". Lineage: Eukaryota; Metazoa; Arthropoda; Insecta; Coleoptera; Curculionidae. The record is from RNAcentral.